ACUGCAAGUCGGUGACGGCAAGCAAAUCUCUUAAAGCCAGUCUCAGUUCGGAUUGUAGGCUGCAACUCGCCUACAUGAAGUCGGAAUCGCUAGUAAUCGCGGAUCAGCACGCCGCGGUGAAUACGUUCCCGGGCCUUGUACACACCGCCCGUCACACCACGAGAGUUUGUAACACCCGAAGUCGGUGAGGUAACCUAUUAGGAGCCAGCCGCCUAAGGUGGGAUAGAUGAUUGGGGUGAAGUCGUAACAAGGUAUC
RNAcentral lists this ribosomal RNA (256 nucleotides) under uncultured bacterium. RNAcentral's name for it is "partial 16S ribosomal RNA". It matches the Rfam family "Bacterial small subunit ribosomal RNA", at positions 1246 to 1500 of the family's 1533-position model. The record is from RNAcentral.